GGUCUCCUGGUGCUUUCCACAGACUGUGUUCUUACACUGAUUGUAUAGAAAGAGGAGGCAGAAUAAACCUACCCCAUAUACAGUUCAGCCCAGGACCUGUGCCUGGUUUGUAUUGUGAAUGGGGAAAUACAG
Molecule: small nucleolar RNA, 132 nt
Organism: Aotus nancymaae (Ma's night monkey)
Lineage: Eukaryota; Metazoa; Chordata; Mammalia; Primates; Aotidae
Source: Ensembl